CAGCCGCCACGGUAAUACAGAGGGUGCGAGCGUUAAUCGGAUUUACUGGGCGUAAAGCGUGCGUAGGCGGCUUCUUAAGUCGGAUGUGAAAUCCCUGAGCUUAACUUAGGAAUUGCAUUCGAUACUGGGAAGCUAGAGUAUGGGAGAGGAUGGUAGAAUUCCAGGUGUAGCGGUGAAAUGCGUAGAGAUCUGGAGGAAUACCGAUGGCGAAGGCAGCCAUCUGGCCUAAUACUGACGCUGAGGUACGAAAGCAUGGGGAGCAAACAGGAUUAGAUACCCGAGUAGUCCCUGUCUCUUAUAA
RNAcentral lists this ribosomal RNA (301 nucleotides) under uncultured bacterium. RNAcentral describes it as "partial 16S ribosomal RNA". It matches the Rfam family "Bacterial small subunit ribosomal RNA", at positions 509 to 809 of the family's 1533-position model. The record is from RNAcentral.